UCAAGUAAAGUUAAUUUUCUCCUGAUCUGUUGAUCUGAAAAAAUGUCAUUUUGACGUCAAAAUGUUCCGAAAACGUGUGGCUUGUGAAGACUGGGUCCAAUAUUUAUCCGGUGAUUUAUUCCAGCAAAAGAAUCUGAUAAUCUGUGAAUUUGUUCACUUCGCCCAUUGAAAUGAAUACACUCACUCUGGUCUCCUAAAGGGGCGGGGAGCUGAAGAAUCUCACGUCACACAGAUACAGGAAAUAAACGGAAAUGAAGCGUCUCAGUUUUCUCUACUGUCUCUAGUAUUAAACGACUGCUGUCAAGUCGGACAACAGUCUACUUCCCGUAGCGCGAGUAGAGGGCAGCUCAACCUGCUGCUGUGUCACAGUGUCACAGCAGCAGCUAAUUAUUUACCUCUGUAAAAGUAGAUCUGAAGUUCUUACAUUAAAAAUGUAACACGUCAUGCGUAUCAAUGAAGCCUUCAGCCAUUCAGGAAAAAGCUAUGUCCUAACAGAAGUGUUUCAGCCCAGAGCCCUUGAAUAGAGAGUCGCGUCAUCUGCGUUCACUCUAUGGACCAUUUUUUUUUAACAGCAAUGGCGGAACAUGGAUCAUCUCAAUUGUUGGAAAUGCUAGCAGCGCAGCAGAAUAUACCAUCUGUGUUGAACGUUUAACAGCUGAUUUUGGAUUGAUGACAAAGGGAGAGGGAAGAUGGAGGAAGGUUGAAAACAAAAGCACAAGCGCCAUAGAACCGUGCUGUAGCCAAGUGCUGUGAAAUAGUCGGACAUUUCAAACACAGUUCUGCAAACACAGCAGAGCUGAAAGUUCAGCAAGCCUCUCAUGGACAAACAGAGGAGUCAAUCAUCCAGGAUGUACCCACAUGCUGGAAUUCAACACUUGAGAUGAUAAUGCGUGUCCAACACAACAAAGAGCCACUGAAGGCAACACUGGCCCAGCAGAAGCACAAAAUAGCUAUUGCUAACCUCAGCUGAAUAUGAAUAUAUGCUAGCAAAGUUGGAAACACUGCUGGAGUCAUGCAGGGUAUGUCACUGAGCUCCUGCUCUGUGGUCCUGCCUGCACUCUGCCACCUCAUGCGUACAAUGGAGGUCUCAGACGUUGACCUUGCUACAAGGCUGCAUUCACAGAGGACCUCAACACAUGAAAGGAGAACACAAACCUUUCAUGGUUAAAGCUAGCAACAGCUCCAGACCCCCAAUUCAAGGACCCCAGGUGCCUGCCCAAAGCAGGGAGCGGAGAGGUGUGGCAAAAGCUGAGUCAUAUGCUGAAGGACAGAGAAACUGCAUCACAGGCCUGCAGAGAGGAAAUGGAACCAGAGCCACCAAGGAAGAAGAUGGCUCUCCUACUCAUGCGGUCAGUGUCUGGUGAGGAGGCACUUUCCACAGACAAAACUCUGGAGCCCAAUGUCAGCAUAGACUAUGGUGGUGGUCAGCACACACUGGUGCCCGUGGUAGGCUUGCCCAAAAGUAGACUAUGAACUGGUUGACUGGAGUCAUGUCACACAACACGUUUACACAGUUUCAAGUAAUGUUAUUCAAUUAAGUGUGUGAAAAGGGACUGUUCACUUUGUUUCUUUCAAGACACUUAUCACUUUCAGUUUAUUAUUAAGCUUUCAGCUCACUCAAUGUAAUGUCGAAUUUAUUUGGGUGAAAUGUUACUUUACAAUUUACAGACAAGCUGUUUAUAAUUACUUUGUAGCAGAUGUAUUGUAACUGUUUUUGUGUUUUUGUCUUCUAUUUAAGUUGGCAGGUCAUUAUGGACAUUGCGGGCGAUGCCAAGCACUCCCUGAGACUUUUUAGUCAGUCUAAUGAUGAGGCACUUUAAUUAGUUAAACAUCUGUACAGUUAUAGAAUAGAGCCCAGUGUCAGCUUAGAGGCAUGUCUACUACAGUGGUGGUUGACACACACACUUGCCCGUGCUGUGCCAAGCUAGUUAAAAGGAAAUGGAAGACUUCAUGACUGGAGUCAUUUGACACAAGUAUGAGGAAAAUUUGUGAUGUGCGAUAACUCUGUUCAAUAUUGCGGUGACAGUUACUUGUGAUAAAUAAACAGAUAUUGAAGUGUGCAAUUUUGCUGUUCACUAUUACCUUAACGUAACUGCGCUGCACAUGUGUAAAUCAAACUGGUGGACGGGAGAUGUUAAAAAUGUAGAUUUUCUACAUGAUAAAAUCUUGUUCAACAGGUGGUGUGAUGAAGGACGGUAAUUGCUUUUUCAAUCGCAAAGGUUGUGAUGACACACACAGAACUACGACUGUAGUUGUCAGCUCCAGUAAAAUGUUAACUUCUCACUGGUCUCCACCCCCCGCCUCUGCACUGUGUGUGUGAGAGGCUGCAGCCUGACACCAAAACGCAAGUUCUUUUCCGGUUCAUCUGGCUCAGGCUCUGCACUUUGAAAACCCUGUGUGACUGCAUGACGUAUAAUAAAUACAAUUAUUUCUUUCCAGUUUAUCACGUUUCAGUCAGUCUUUUGCUUGUUGCAUAUGUUCAUAUCACGAUGACAAUGAAAAUACAAUUUAUUGGUCAGCACUAAUAUAAAUGGAGAGAGGAACAGAGUUUAUUUUAUUUCUAUAUAUGCUAUGAAUCAGUAUCUUUCACAAGGCUUUUGAAUAUUCUCGUUUAAACAUUUCACAUACAUUUCUCUUUUUUAUUUUGAGUAAUUUGCAAGCAUUUGUCACUUUUUCAUUGUUUUAACCUUGUGAAGCUCUUUGAAAUCUCUGGUUUUGAUAAGUGCUAUAUAACUAAACUAUUUUAUGAUAAUAAUUAUUAUGUUAAUUUCAUUCCUUGUCUUCCAUCAAUGUAAAACCUUGUUGGGCUUUUAUGGAAUUGAGUGUCAUUAAUAGGAUUAUUCCACUUAAUGUUAAUAAUUAGAAUGUAUUAUGUGUUUUAUUCUUCACUCAGCCAUUAAAGAACAAAUA
Molecule: long non-coding RNA, 2910 nt
Organism: Seriola dumerili (greater amberjack)
Lineage: Eukaryota; Metazoa; Chordata; Actinopteri; Carangiformes; Carangidae
Exons: 4
Source: RefSeq, a predicted model, not a curated record